GACGAACGCUGGCGGCGUGCCUAACACAUGCAAGUCGAGCGGUCUCGCCUAUAGCAAAAGGCCUUCGGGCUUCGAGCAAAGGCGAGAUAGCGGCGGACGGGUGAGUAACGCGUGGCUUAUCUGUCCCAGGGAGGGGGAUAACGUCUGGAAACGGGCGCUAAUACCCCAUAUGCCGGUGAGGUAAAAAGGAGAAAUCCGCCCUGGGGUGAGGCCGCGUCCUAUCAGCUAGUUGGUGAGGUAACGGCCCACCAAGGCUAUGACGGGUAGCCGGCCUGAGAGGGCGGCUGGCCACACUGGGAUUGAGAUACGGCCCAGACUCCUACGGGAGGCAGCAGUGGGGAAUAUUGGGCAAUGGGGGAAACCCUGACCCAGCGACGCCGCGUGGAGGAAGGAGCCCUUCGGGGUGUAAACUCCUGUUGUAAGGGAAGAAGACAGUGACGGUACCUUACGAGGAAGCCCCGGCAAACUACGUGCCAGCAGCCGCGGUAACACGUAGGGGGCGAGCGUUGUCCGGAAUCACUGGGCGUAAAGCGCACGCAGGCGGAUGCGCGCGUCGGCUGUGAAAUGCACCGGCUCAACCGGUGCACUGCGGUCGAUACGGCGCGUCUGGAGUGCGGGAGAGGGAAGCGGAAUUCCCGGUGUAGCGGUGAAAUGCGUAGAUAUCGGGAGGAACGCCGGUGGCGAAGGCGGCUUCCUGGCCCGCAACUGACGCUCAUGUGCGAAAGCCAGGGGAGCGAACCGGAUUAGAUACCCGGGUAGUCCUGGGCCGUAAACGAUGGACGCUAGGUGUGGGCGGUUUAUCCGUCUGUGCCGAAGUUAACGCGUUAAGCGUCCCGCCUGGGGAGUAUGAUCGCAAGGUUGAAACUCAA
Molecule: ribosomal RNA, 869 nt
Filed under: bacterium enrichment culture
Lineage: Bacteria
Description: bacterial SSU rRNA
Rfam family: Bacterial small subunit ribosomal RNA
Source: RNAcentral